Long non-coding RNA from Lolium perenne, 2577 nucleotides. RefSeq lists it as uncharacterized. Lineage: Eukaryota; Viridiplantae; Streptophyta; Magnoliopsida; Poales; Poaceae. The record is from RefSeq and is a predicted model, not a curated record.
GCCCACCUGCCCCGUUUCCUCUCCCUCCCGCAUAUUCUUCCAUCUUGAUGUGCAGCUCCCGCCGGCCGAUCCCGCCUCCUUCCAGCGCGCCGCCGCCGGCGCGUCCCCGGCUUCCUCUGCCGCACCGGCCUCCGCCUUCCUAUGCGGCCGUCCGGCAGGUGCCCCCGCAUCUCCAUGUUCCCCUCGCGCAGGCGCAGCUGACCGGGCACUCACAUCUCCCCGGAUCCCACCCGCCGCCGGCGCCGGCUCGGCUCAACAUCUGCGUCCCUUACGCCGCCUCCAUCCACUGAUUCCCGGCCGCCGGCCCAACCCUACGCGCCAUCCAUCUCGUCGGCCUGCCACAGCAGUAGUGCGCCGCCUCUCCAUUCCUCCCGCCGGGCCGGCCGAGCCUCCCUAUCCCCCAACCCAAACUCCGGCGCCAUCGGCCUUCCUCUCCCGAAUCCAAAUUCCGGUUCCGCCUCUGUAUUCCUCUGCUCGAACAGCCCUUGCCUCCCUCAACCCGUACUCUGGCGUCGCUGGUAACCUCCCCGUCAAGAACAACACGGCAGUACAAUAUUUAUUUGCAGGGAAGAUCAACUGGGUACCAAUAGCAGUGGACUUAUUUGCGGCGGAAGCUUGAGGCACGCUGCCGCGGAAUCGAUCCGAGGGAGGCGCCUAGGAAGACCCCGGGUGCAGAGCUCCACAAGGAUCCGGGCACGAUCCAGCCGAUGCUGCAGGUGGAGGACGACCUUCUGGAUAUCAUGUGGCGUCCACCAGAAAGAUUGGAUCUCUUUCCCUGCUUGCUUUACUUAAUCGGUAUACUGAUUAUUUGUUGUUGUGUCCGGAUACGAGCAUUUGCAUCCAAGCUGGGAUCUCCUGGUAGUUUCUUCAAUCGUGGUAGCAUUUGCAUGCCUCUGCAUCACAAAGGCACUAGAUAAUAAUGUUGAUGUGAUUUGCAUCUUGCUAAAACUAUUGUCUCUGGGUUUGCGUCUGCUAACAUUGAUUACUGGUGAUGGAGUAGUGAUAUUAGUACUCCUAGGAUUAGCAUUGCAGCAAUGUUGGCACUAUCUCCACUUCCCUCUAAAGAAUCUGCCACUCCUAGGAGUAUUGUUCAGACUUGAGAGUAGGCAGGCUUUGGUAAACAUAAUUUGUUAGUUUCUAAUUUUUCUUUAAUGGGCUCAAAACACAGGAUUUUUUGCUUCAUUUGCAUCUCUCGGUUAUCUUAAGGGUCCCAUUUGAAUGUUUUAUUAAUCCCAUGAUAUGAUUCAGUUUUGGCGCAUUUCAUUUAGAGUGGUUCUGAUAAUUAGAAUGCUAGACCGUAUUGGUUUGUAAGCUGUAAUGAUAUUCUGAUUAUCUGUUGCCAAUUUAUUUUCAACAGAACAAAAAGCUCAAGGAUGUGGAGAUUAGUUUUCUCAUCGUUUAUGGAACCAUUUCUUUUUUGGCUUUGUAAAAAAUCAACAGAGUAAGCAUUUAUUUGAAUCUGUGGCAUAUUAUCUGUCGGUGAGUAAACACGAUAUGGUUGAUGUGCGCGCGGCAACCGCCGCCACCGCUGCAUCUUCCCCCGACCCCGCCGCUGCCUCGCAGCGCUGAUGGAUGAUCGCCAUCCACCACUGCCCCGUCCUCUGCAACGAGUAGGGAAGCCCCACCGGUUGCCGUUGUCGACCUGGAAGCAGCAACAGUACAGGUUCGUCCUCAACAGCAGUACAGGCGAGACCCCGCAGAAGAACACAUAUCCAUACCAGGCAGUACAUAUGUUUGCUGCGAUAAGUACAAGACAGAAGUAAAGUAUUUAAUCACCAGGGUUUGUGAGAUGAGCAGCUUAUUAUGUGGGUAAAAAAAUCAUCAUCUGGAAGCACCAGUAGUCACGUUCGGUCAGUAUACAAUGAUGUGGGCUGAUGUACAGAGGGACACGUGGGUGCCAAGAAGCUCAAGAAAUGAUGCAAGAAGAGAUCAAGCUCACAAAGCAUACACUACAACACCAAAGAAUAGAUGCCAGAAUAGAUGCACCGCUCAGGAAGAAGACGUUUGGUGCGCAGUUAUGUUCUUUUGUAUCUGUAUGACAAACAGCUAUACACGACCAGCUCCUUGUGACAAUCAUAUCCAACAGCUUUUAGCUCCGAACAUAAGAAAAAUGUUUUUCUCUCCAAAACUUUCAUCAAGGUAUGCCAAAACAAAAAAAUCAGUAUGCAUGGUUGUGUACCAACAGAAUCUCAAUGAGCCUGAUCCGAAAGAAUAACACAAAAAAGGAGUCAGCCGCGAGGAGUCAGGAUUGAGCGGAAGGCCUCAGCUCAAUGUAAGGAGAAAGGGGAUAGGUGUUGUACUGCACUGGGCGGUGGCCGGCGGCGCACGGAAAUACACCACUAUGAAAAUUCUAUAUCGAGAGAAAAGAGCGAGAGACGGGACAAAAGAAAUAAGUACAACAUGCUUAGCGUAGUCGUGGUGUCCGACCACAGCGGGGAGCCAAACAACGACAAAGGUCUUCAAGAUGUGUAUAUAGUGGGUUUCAAAAAGGUGAAGAAGGUGAAAGAUAAACUAAUUAGGAUGGUCCAAAUGGAGUCAUAAUUAAACUCUUCUAUUCUCCCCAUGUUGCUAAAAGGU